Molecule: long non-coding RNA, 379 nt
Filed under: Naja naja (Indian cobra)
Lineage: Eukaryota; Metazoa; Chordata; Lepidosauria; Squamata; Elapidae
Description: lncRNA (ENSNNAG00000019059.1)
Source: RNAcentral
UGCUUACAUUUGAGCACUUUUUAACUGAAAGCCUAUUUGUUUUUCAACAUUAAGUCGCUUGACUGAAGAAGAGGAGGAUGAAGAUGAAGGAAAAGAAUUUGCAGCUGAGGUUGAAAACUCUUUUCCCCAGCUUUACAAGAUAUUUAUGACACAUAUUCCUACUGAAAAUUCGGAGCUGAGCAGUGCAGUUUUACAAGCUUUAGGAUUCUGUGUGUGUAAUCCAAAGAUUGCUUCCUUAUUAUGCGGUAAAUACCUUUUUGUAUUAAACACAUUGAUAAACACUAAUCAAUUUGACUAACCAGUUUCUUCCAGUGACUGACAUCCAUAGUCUAUGUCAGGGGUCUUCAAACUUGACAGCUUGAAGACUGGUGGACUUCCA